GAACUGAAGAGUUUGAUCCUGGCUCAGAUUGAACGCUGGCGGCAUGCCUUACACAUGCAAGUCGAACGGCAGCGCGGGGGCAACCCUGGCGGCGAGUGGCGAACGGGUGAGUAAUAUAUCGGAACGUGCCCUAGAGU
RNAcentral lists this ribosomal RNA (137 nucleotides) under Burkholderiaceae bacterium. RNAcentral's name for it is "partial 16S ribosomal RNA". It matches the Rfam family "Bacterial small subunit ribosomal RNA", at positions 1 to 137 of the family's 1533-position model. Lineage: Bacteria; Pseudomonadati; Pseudomonadota; Betaproteobacteria; Burkholderiales; Burkholderiaceae. The record is from RNAcentral.